Molecule: long non-coding RNA, 359 nt
Organism: Triticum aestivum (bread wheat)
Lineage: Eukaryota; Viridiplantae; Streptophyta; Magnoliopsida; Poales; Poaceae
Exons: 2
Source: RefSeq, a predicted model, not a curated record
GCCGGUGAUGUCCGUGCGGUGAUGUCCCUGGGGUGGCGCCACUGUGCCCGGCGCUUGCCCUGGUCGCCGCGGUGGUGCUUCGGCGGCUUCCAGACCCUCUCCUCGAUGUGGUGAUGGUCACACCACAGCCGUGGUGUGGCUGAGCCUCUGCUAGGGUUACAACCUUCCUCUGGUUGAAGGCGCUAAGGUGUUGGAGACGUGCGUGUACUUGUUGAGUGUUUUAUCUGUAGAGUGCUAUACUGUGAUUGGUGUAAUAUUAUAUGGUUAUAUUGUGAUUGGUGGAAUGUAAUAAACUUGAUUGGUACAUCGGUGAUUUGGCUGUUAUUUGAAUAUAUUUAAAAUGUGUUCUCUGAUUGGUA